Molecule: long non-coding RNA, 239 nt
Filed under: Elaeis guineensis (African oil palm)
Lineage: Eukaryota; Viridiplantae; Streptophyta; Magnoliopsida; Arecales; Arecaceae
Description: long non-coding RNA (EGUI_LNC019901)
Source: RNAcentral
UUCCGAUCAUAGGAUCAUCAUGAGGAUGAUGAUCGAUCUAGAUAGACUGACUCAUAGAUCGCUUCCUUUGAAAUAGAUGAGUCUCUAUUCUACAGUGUAGGGAUACUGGAUGAUAAGUGCGGGUAGUAUUUAGAGAACAACUAGUACUGAGCAUGACCAUACAAGAGAUCACUUAAAUUUUUAUCCGAUCAUCAAUGAUCAUCUCGAUGCUGUAGUUAUGUGAAUAAUUUUUUGACCUG